Salmo salar (Atlantic salmon) is the source of this 709-nucleotide long non-coding RNA. RefSeq lists it as uncharacterized. NCBI's taxonomy places the organism in Eukaryota, Metazoa, Chordata, Actinopteri, Salmoniformes, Salmonidae. The record is from RefSeq and is a predicted model, not a curated record.
GUGAUGUAUCACACCUGGGGUUGAGAGUCCUCUUCAACAGCCAUCUCUCCAUCUCUCCACUGUGAGUUACUCCUCUGCUUGUUCAAAACAAUCUUGACUGGAUAUGACGAUCUCUCUGAUGCCAUGGGGAGAGGAAGUAGAUCUGGCCCAGUUCAUCGCCACACACCAGUUCACUGGAGCAGUGCGGGUUGACCUUCAAGACUAGAACAGGACCCACACACACAAACACACCCACCUGUAGAGAGAUCGAGAGAUAUCGUGUUCUGUCAUGGGACGCCGAGAUGAUCGUGCUGUUAGUGAGUCGCAGUACACUGAUCCUGUCACUGUGUGCCUAAAGAAUAUCCAUCAAAAUCAUCAUUGAAAAAAAGACAUCAGUUUCAAAAGGUUGACAUCUUACAGGUUUCCUGCUGCUCCAGGAGUUUACAUUUGGUGGCUGGUAGAACCACAUUUUCCCCUUGGAAUCUCCCACACCAGAAACUCUAGAGACAGGACACAGAAUAACAGUCCAGUUAAUAAAUGAUUCAUAUAACAACUUGUUAUGUGAGUGUCAUUGUACUGCAGUGCAGUUAUCUAGCCACCUUUUCCCCCACUAGACAUGGACCAAUGUCACCACAUUUUUUAAAUGUAACCUUUAUUUAACUAGGCAAGUCAGUUAAGAACAAAUUCUUAUUUACAAUGACGGCCUACCCCGGACGACGCUGGGCCAAUU